AACGAACGCUGGCGGCAUGCCUAACACAUGCAAGUCGAACGAAGCCUUCGGGCUUAGUGGCGCACGGGUGCGUAACGCGUGGGAAUCUGCCCUUGGGUUCGGAAUAACAGUUAGAAAUGACUGCUAAUACCGGAUGAUGUCUUCGGACCAAAGAUUUAUCGCCCAAGGAUGAGCCCGCGUAGGAUUAGGUAGUUGGUGGGGUAAUGGCCCACCAAGCCGGCGAUCCUUAGCUGGUCUGAGAGGAUGAUCAGCCACACUGGGACUGAGACACGGCCCAGACUCCUACGGGAGGCAGCAGUGGGGAAUAUUGGACAAUGGGCGAAAGCCUGAUCCAGCAAUGCCGCGUGAGUGAUGAAGGCCUUAGGGUUGUAAAGCUCUUUUACCAGGGAUGAUAAUGACAGUACCUGGAGAAUAAGCUCCGGCUAACUCCGUGCCAGCAGCCGCGGUAAAAUCACGUCGUACGUCGAGACGGGCGGUCGGCGAAGACGGCG
Molecule: ribosomal RNA, 491 nt
Filed under: uncultured bacterium
Lineage: Bacteria
Description: bacterial SSU rRNA
Rfam family: Bacterial small subunit ribosomal RNA
Source: RNAcentral